This is a long non-coding RNA of Alexandromys fortis (reed vole), 1182 nucleotides long. RefSeq lists it as uncharacterized. The record is from RefSeq and is a predicted model, not a curated record. NCBI's taxonomy places the organism in Eukaryota, Metazoa, Chordata, Mammalia, Rodentia, Cricetidae. The transcript is spliced from 3 exons.
CAAAGGCACCGCCUCACAAAGGCCUUUUGUUCUUAGCUGUCGGGGGAGAGUUUCAGAAUGGGGAUGGAGUAAAGCUUUGAUAUGGAGCCCAGGCUGACACUCCAGGUCUGAGCUGCUGAGCUGCUGGGAAUUGACAAGUGGCCUCCCUGCAACAAGAAAGCAUAAGUUCUGAAAUUUCACUGCCAAGCUGUGGCUGCAUGGGCAUGGACAAAGUUCAAGUCAACUGCCUUGCAUUUGAGGGGGGCAAGCAGGCAUUAAGAUCUACAUUUUACCUCAAGAAAUGGAGGCGUUAGUGGCUAGGCCUAAGGUCACAACUACAGAAGCUGUUUGGCUAGAAUUUGCCGCCAGGUCUCUUUGUUUCAAUGACAUAGCUCUUUCCAUCAGACUAGAAGUCACCUUCAACAUCAUUCAGCAAGACUGCCAAGAAAGGUCACAUUUAAAUAUCCAAAACUAACACGCAUGGACUGAAGGGUCAAGAGUAUGUGUCUAGGGAUAGCCGGAAAAAUCAAAAUUUCACGACAAAUGCUAGAUAAAAUGAAAUGCUUCAGAACAGUGAAAAUUGAUUUUUAAGAGGCCAUAAAACAUACAAAUAAGUUUAUGGUUUAAACUAUAAGCAUCAUUGUUGGUGUCUGUUUUUUUUUUUUUUACUUCAUCUUUUUCUGCAAAAACAUACUAAACAUAAAACAACAACAACAACAACAACAGCCCAAGCCCCUCCUUAUAGAAGUCCACCAUGAAUGCAGAGCCCUUCCCAAUCCACCAGGGCCUCAGGCCAGCUUUUGGAGAUUACUUCUGGCAGCAGUUACAGGGCUUCUUCAACAGUGGGUGAUGGGGCAGGGUGGGGGCUCUCAUGUGCCUGUAGUGACUAGCAGGUGAAUGAAAACACAGAGGAGGCUGCCACAGACAAUCUCCCAAGGAGACCUCCCUGCAAGGCCCCCACCUCCACCGUCAUUGAGAAGAAAGCCCAACUUAUCAACACGGUGCUUUCCAAACUUUAGUACAUAGAAAACGCAAUGGGAAUGUUCCAGAAGCAGAUUCCUGGAAACUAUCUCCAAAUUCCCAGUUUGUAUGUCUAGAUUGAACCCUAAAAUCCUCCCUCUCUAAGCAGCUCCCAGCCAAUGCAGUGUUCUCACGUAGGGCUCACACUUUAAAGGGCAUAGGUUGAUACCCUCAUGCCCAGUC